RNAcentral lists this ribosomal RNA (1517 nucleotides) under metagenome. Its description in RNAcentral is "bacterial SSU rRNA". It matches the Rfam family "Bacterial small subunit ribosomal RNA". The record is from RNAcentral.
AGAAUUUGAUCCUGGCUCAGAACGAACGCUGGCGGCGUGGAUUAGGCAUGCAAGUCGAACGCGAACGUCACCUUCGGGUGGCUAGUAGAGUGGCGAACGGGUGAGUAACGCGUGAGAAACCUGCCUAGAAGUGGGGGAUAACACUCCCAACGGGGUGCUAAUACCGCAUGUGAUGUGAGUGUCUCCUGGCACACACAGGAAAGAUGGCCUCUGCUUGCAAGCUAUCGCUUCUAGAUGGUCUCGCGUCCGAUUAGCUUGUUGGUGAGGUAACGGCCCACCAAGGCGACGAUCGGUAGCUGGUCUGAGAGGAUGGUCAGCCACACUGGGACUGAGAUACGGCCCAGACUCCUACGGGAGGCAGCAGUCGAGAGGCCUUGUCAAUGGGGGAAACCCUGAACAAGCGACGCCGCGUGGGGGAUGACGGCCUUUGGGUUGUAAACCCCUUUCAGCAGGGACGAAUGUUAUGUGGGUGAAUAAUCCACGUAGUUGACGGUACCCGCAGAAGAAGCUCCGGCUAACUCCGUGCCAGCAGCCGCGGUAAUACGGGGGGAGCGAGCGUUGUUCGGAAUCACUGGGCGUAAAGGGCGUGUAGGCGGUUCGGUAAGUGAGAUGUGAAAGCCCCCGGCUCACCCGGGGAUGUGCAUUUCAUACUGCCGGACUUGAGUGCGGAAGAGGAUGGGGGAAUUCCUGGUGUAGCGGUGAAAUGCGUAGAUAUCAGGAGGAACACCGGUGGCGAAGGCGCCCAUCUGGUCCGUUACUGACGCUGAUGCGCGAAAGCUAGGGGAGCGAACGGGAUUAGAUACCCCGGUAGUCCUAGCCGUAAACGGUGGGCACUAGGUGUUGGAGGCAUCGACCCUUCCAGUGCCGCAGCUAACGCAUUAAGUGCCCCGCCUGGGGAGUACGGUCGCAAGACUGAAACUCAAAGGAAUUGACGGGGGCCCGCACAAGCGGUGGAGCAUGUGGUUCAAUUCGACGCAACGCGAAGAGCCUUACCAGGCUUGACAUGCACUGGACCGGUGUAGAAACACACCUUCCCUUCGGGGCUAGUGCACAGGUGCUGCAUGGCUGUCGUCAGCUCGUGUCGUGAGAUGUUGGGUUAAGUCCCGCAACGAGCGCAACCCUUGCCCUUAGUUGCUAACGAAUAAAGUCGAGCACUCUAGGGGGACUGCCGGCGGUAAGCCGGAGGAAGGUGGGGACGACGUCAAGUCCUCAUGGCCCUUACGCCUGGGGCUACACACGUGCUACAAUGACCGACACAGAGGGCUGCGAUACCGCGAGGUGGAGCCAAUCCCAAAAAGUCGGCCUCAGUUCGGAUUGCAGUCUGCAACCCGACUGCAUGAAGGUGGAAUCGCUAGUAAUCGCUGAUCAGCAGGCAGCGGUGAAUACGUUCCCGGGCCUUGUACACACCGCCCGUCAAGCCACGAAAGUUGGCAGUACCCGAAGUCGCCGUGGUAACCCGCAAGGGAGCUAGGCGCCUAAGGUAAGGCUAGCGAUUGGGGCUAAGUCGUAACAAGGUA